This 469-nucleotide ribosomal RNA is filed under the name uncultured bacterium. RNAcentral describes it as "partial 16S ribosomal RNA". It matches the Rfam family "Bacterial small subunit ribosomal RNA", at positions 28 to 507 of the family's 1533-position model. The record is from RNAcentral.
GACGAACGCUGGCGGCGUGCUUAACACAUGCAAGUCGAACGGAAAGGCCCUGCUUGCAGGGUGCUCGAGUGGCGAACGGGUGAGUAACACGUGGGUGAUCUGCCCCUUAUUUUGGGAUAAGCCUGGGAAACUGGGUCUAAUACUGGAUAGGACCAUGCUGUAGGUGGUGUGGUGGAAAGAUUAGUUUCGGUAAGGGAUGAGCUCGCGGCCUAUCAGCUUGUUGGUGGGGUAAUGGCCUACCAAGGCGUCGACGGGUAGCCGGCCUGAGAGGGUGGACGGCCACAUUGGGACUGAGAUACGGCCCAGACUCCUACGGGAGGCAGCAGUGGGGAGUAGUGAACAAUGGGCGCAAGCCUGAUGCAGCGACGCCGCGUGGGGGAUGACGGCCUUCGGGUUGUAAACUCCUUUCGGCCAUGACGAAGCCCUUGUGGUGACGGUAGUGGUAGAAGAAGCACCGGCUAACUACGUG